CCUACGGGAGGCAGCAGUGGGGAAUUUUGGACAAUGGGCGCAAGCCUGAUCCAGCCAUUCCGCGUGAGUGAAGAAGGCCUUCGGGUUGUAACGCUCUUUCGCAAGGGAAGAAAACUUAUCCUCUAACAUAGGAUGAGGUUGACGGUACCUUGAUAAGAAGCACCGGCUAACUACGUGCCAGCAGCCGCGGUAAUACGUAGGGUGCUAGCGGUAAUCGGGAUUACGCGGCGUAAAGCGUAAGCCAGAUGUGAAAUCCCCGAGCUCAACCUGGGAACUGCGGUUGAAACUACAAGACUAGAAUAGGUCAGAGGGGGGUAGAAUUCCACGUGUAGCAGUGAAAUGCGUAGAGAUGUGGAGGAAUAUCAAUGGCGAAGGCAGCCCCCUGGGAUCAUAUUGACGCUCAUGCACGAAAGCGUGGGGAGCAAACAGGAUUAGAUACCCGGGUAGUC
RNAcentral lists this ribosomal RNA (449 nucleotides) under uncultured bacterium. RNAcentral's name for it is "partial 16S ribosomal RNA". It matches the Rfam family "Bacterial small subunit ribosomal RNA", at positions 338 to 795 of the family's 1533-position model. The record is from RNAcentral.